Salvelinus sp. IW2-2015 is the source of this 2391-nucleotide non-coding RNA. The record is from RefSeq and is a predicted model, not a curated record. NCBI's taxonomy places the organism in Eukaryota, Metazoa, Chordata, Actinopteri, Salmoniformes, Salmonidae.
GGGGGAGGCAGGUCAGUGAAACCAAGCCAAUUACACAAUGAGGCAUUACUUAGAUGGAGUUGUACCAACGAAAGUAAACAAAACGAAUUUUAAACCGGGCGAAGGCUUCAGUUGACUUGUUCCUCUCAGUCCGUUGGCACCUAUUCAUGAAUCGAUGUUGGAAUUACGCAAAUAAUAUAAUAAUUACGAAAGCUUGUGUCAUGGUGGGUAAUUGUAUUGUCUUUCAGUUUAUUUGUUAUUGCUUUGUAAAGUGACGAGGUUAUUGGAAGUUAUUAUGAGUAUAUGCAAGACGAGAUGCGGUUAUCUGUGAACGUUCACAUCGGUCAUUUGGAAUUUCAGUUCAAGGAAACAAUUUAAAAAAGCUUCCUGGUAAGCGCGUAUUGCAGAUAGGCUAUAAGUGGAGUGACGAAAAAGGGAGAGCGCAAAGAAAUUGACAAGGCAGAGCGGAUGAUCGGGAAAUUUGAGUGAUAUUUCCUAUUUACGAGUGUUCAUAACGCCAUUCUAAUUGAAGACAUGGUGAUCCUCGAGGGACAGCUCCUUACGUAUGAGAGCGAGAAUAAAAAGUGAGUGGCACCCUGGCAAACAACCUGAGACUUCAUCAAGGCGCACACAGAAGUUAGCCUAUAGGCUAUAUGGAGCAGACCUUUUAAUUACUUUUCCAUUCUCUCCCAUCAAGUCGGUCAAGGAAGGAUCAGAAGAUGACCGUACUUGCAGCCCAAAUACACUUCUUAUAAAAACGGAUGAUUCUCUCCUUUCCUCUGUGGUCGUGUUUUAAAUCGUGGAAUGGUAUGGGGCAGAACGGUGCCGAAGACUGAGUUAUCCGGCGCGGUUCAAUAGCGUUGACAUUAAAACAUCGACGGAUUUACUGGAGGAUAUUAGAAACGGAGACAAAACAGGGGUCUCGUUAAACUCACGGCAGAGUCAGAGAGGGAGAUCCCUUUCCUCAGCCUACCGUAGCAAUGAGCGGACUGUGCAAGCCUGUAGUUAUGGGACUCAUAUUGCUGAUCUGCAGUACUACCAGCCACUGUGAGGAGAGCGCGCCAGCCACGGCUCCCACGGUCGCGAAGAACGACAAGAGCCUACUCAGGCGGAUUGUAGACAUAGUGAAGCACGUGGAGGAGAGCCGCGGUGAGAACCGCACGAACGCAGCAUCGCAGUCGACUUCUAGGAGAGAAUCCCCAGUUGAGACAAAAAGGGAUUUACGAAACCUCAAAACAGAUAGUGGCGAUCAAAUUAUUGAAAUAUUUCCUAGAGAUCUCAGAAAGAAAGAAAAGUUUUUAAAACACUUAACAGGUCCUCUGUAUUUCAAUCCCAAAUGCAGGAAGCACGUAUACAGACUAUAUCACAACACCAGAGACUGCACAAUACCUGCAUACUUCAAAAGAUGCGCACGGCUUCUCACACGCUUAGCAGGGAGCCCACGAUGUACAGAAGGGUAGCAGAAAUCAAGUUGAAGCCAAACCAGAGCUGUCCAGAAGAGAGCCCUGACAAAAAGUGCCUUAGACAACAACAGGGAAACCAAACAAACUCGAACCAGUCACGUCCGCCAUUACGCAGUAUCCGUCACCAGAGUUCACUAUUUUACAAAGACAUGGAUUACCACUCACAGGCCUCCCUGGACCCUACACAGUCUGUGGUCACUGUGGGUCUUGACAAGAGACUAUACAGAAGAUACAGAAGGUGAAGGGGAAAAAAUGGCAGCAACCACAGAUUUCGGGGUUAUUAUUGUCCUGCUGGCUGGACAAACUCUACUUUCUUCUUUCUUUCUUGGUUUUUACCAAAAGAGAAAAGGGAUUGCUUUUGUUUGUUUUUAACCCCCCCCCCCACCCCCCAAAAAACAACAACAACAAUUGAAAUCAAUCAAAUCUUUUGGUUGGGUUGCGACAUGCCUUUUUAGGUUGUAUUUAUGUUGUGGUUCGGCGUCAUAUCUUUGUCAGCAGCACUACCUAUUAGUGGAUAAAAGGCUAUCUCGGAAAUUCUCUCACCUACCUGUGACCACACUGAAWCGUAUGAUUAAAUUAUUAACUGCAUGACAAUUUCCUUGCCUUUUUAUGUCUUUGUAAGACAUGUAUUAAAACAAGAGACACUAUAUAUUAGGCACUGGUUGCAGUCAGAAGUUGUGUGUAAGAAGAAACCCUCCUGUGAGUCUGAGUGUGGUAGUGUGGUACAUAGUAUAUUUAUAUAUUCAAGUUGUCAUAUGUUUUCCUCUGUAUACAGUAUGUAUAAACAUUCUAACCUGAGUGCAAUAUGUACAUAUUGUAAAAAGCAUAAAUGGAAUCCACAUAACAACCAUAAAUUAAAGUGUUUGACGUAUAUUAACUUGGUGUUAAAAAAUAUAUAUCAAAAACAUGAAAUAUAUUUAAAUAAAUUAUAAGAUUGGUACAAAUAUGA